RNAcentral lists this ribosomal RNA (744 nucleotides) under Pseudocercospora paraguayensis. RNAcentral describes it as "eukaryotic LSU rRNA". It matches the Rfam family "Eukaryotic large subunit ribosomal RNA", at positions 95 to 871 of the family's 3401-position model. Lineage: Eukaryota; Fungi; Ascomycota; Dothideomycetes; Mycosphaerellales; Mycosphaerellaceae. RNAcentral also lists the same sequence under 9 other names. The record is from RNAcentral.
GAAGCGGCAACAGCUCAAAUUUGAAAUCUGGCGUAAGCCCGAGUUGUAAUUUGUAGAGGAUGCUUCUGGGUAGCGGCCGGUCUAAGUUCCUUGGAACAGGACGUCAUAGAGGGUGAGAAUCCCGUAUGUGACUGGCUUGCACCCUCCACGUAGCUCCUUCGACGAGUCGAGUUGUUUGGGAAUGCAGCUCUAAAUGGGAGGUAAAUUUCUUCUAAAGCUAAAUACCGGCCAGAGACCGAUAGCGCACAAGUAGAGUGAUCGAAAGAUGAAAAGCACUUUGGAAAGAGAGUUAAAAAGCACGUGAAAUUGUUGAAAGGGAAGCGCCCGCAACCAGACUUUGCGGCGGUGUUCGGCUGGUCUUCUGACCGGUUUACUCGCCGCCGUGAGGCCAUCAUCGUCUGGGACCGCUGGAUAAGACCUGAGGAAUGUAGCUCCCUUCGGGGUGUGUUAUAGCCUCUGGUGAUGCAGCGCGUCUCGGGCGAGGUCCGCGCUUCGGCAAGGAUGAUGGCGUAAUGGUUGUCGGCGGCCCGUCUUGAAACACGGACCAAGGAGUCUAACAUCUAUGCGAGUGUUCGGGUGUCAAACCCCUACGCGUAAUGAAAGUGAACGGAGGUGGGAACUUUUUGUGCACCAUCGACCGAUCCUGAUGUCCUCGGAUGGAUUUGAGUAAGAGCAUAGCUGUUGGGACCCGAAAGAUGGUGAACUAUGCCUGAAUAGGGUGAAGCCAGAGGAAACUCUGGUGGA